GAAACCUUGACCCCUUUUCUUACAUUCUCUUUGAUUCUUCCCCUUUUUUCUUCAUUCCAUCGUUCAUAGAAGAAAAAACGAGGAGAAAAUGGCCCAGACAAAUAGAGGCCAAGCAUCGACAUCUGAAGAAGACAAACUUACCCAUCAAUUAGCUACACAAGACCUCCCACAAGAUGCCUCAAAGCUAAUUGGUCGUGUUAAUCAUGAUAAACUUUGCGACACUGUACAUGAGAAAGUACUAAAUAUUGAUGGUGAUAGAGAUGAAGACCUCUUCACUAUUCCUGCAGCAAAUUAUGAGAUCCCACAAACUGCGCUAGCGAGGACUUUUAACUGCUGAGUGAUGUCUUCUAGUAAGCUUUCUUGAGUGAUGUAAGCGAGAGCAGUCGAUCACAUGUCCUGCUUUUACUACCAUCAGUCAGCCUGUAAAUAACUUAUGCAGAAGCUUUUGUUUGAUCCAUAUCAACCUCUUAUUCUAACAUGUAACAUUUUUUAUGAAUUCUAAUUUACAAUGUAUAUCAUCUGCUCAAUACUUUUCAGAUGAAAGAUAUUGUGAUCUAUCUUAUAACAAUUUCAAAGAUCAUGACUAUGUGAUUGUUGCGAAAAAAAGGAAUCGAUCUUCGAAUUGAUGUGGUCCA
Long non-coding RNA from Elaeis guineensis (African oil palm), 635 nucleotides. RefSeq lists it as uncharacterized. The record is from RefSeq and is a predicted model, not a curated record. Lineage: Eukaryota; Viridiplantae; Streptophyta; Magnoliopsida; Arecales; Arecaceae.